RNAcentral lists this ribosomal RNA (253 nucleotides) under uncultured bacterium. RNAcentral describes it as "partial 16S ribosomal RNA". It matches the Rfam family "Bacterial small subunit ribosomal RNA", at positions 524 to 776 of the family's 1533-position model. The record is from RNAcentral.
UACGUAGGGUCCGAGCGUUGUCCGGAAUUAUUGGGCGUAAAGGGCUCGUAGGCGGUCCGUCACGUCGGGAGUGAAAACUCAGGGCUCAACCCUGAGCGUGCUUCCGAUACGGGUGGACUAGAGGUAUGCAGGGGAGAACGGAAUUCCUGGUGUAGCGGUGGAAUGCGCAGAUAUCAGGAGGAACACCGGUGGCGAAGGCGGUUCUCUGGGCAUUACCUGACGCUGAGGAGCGAAAGCGUGGGGAGCGAACAGG